GAUGAACGCUGGCGGCGUGCCUAAUACAUGCAAGUCGAGCGAACGGACGAGAAGCUUGCUUCUCUGAUGUUAGCGGCGGACGGGUGAGUAACACGUGGAUAACCUACCUAUAAGACUGGGAUAACUUCGGGAAACCGGAGCUAAUACCGGAUAAUAUUUUGAACCGCAUGGUUCAAAAGUGAAAGACGGUCUUGCUGUCACUUCUAGAUGGAUCCGCGCUGCAUUAGCUAGUUGGUAAGGUAACGGCUUACCAAGGCAACGAUGCAUAGCCGACCUGAGAGGGUGAGCGGCCACACUGGAACUGAGGCACGGUCCAGACUCCUACGGGAGGCAGCAGUAGGGAAUCUUCCGCAAUGGGCGAAAGCCUGACGGAGCAACGCCGCGUGAGUGAUGAAGGUCUUCGGAUCGUAAAACUCUGUUAUUAGGGAAGAACAUAUGUGUAAGUAACUGUGCACAUCUUGACGGUACCUAAUCAGAAAGCCACGGCUAACUACGUG
RNAcentral lists this ribosomal RNA (497 nucleotides) under uncultured bacterium. RNAcentral describes it as "partial 16S ribosomal RNA". It matches the Rfam family "Bacterial small subunit ribosomal RNA", at positions 28 to 507 of the family's 1533-position model. The record is from RNAcentral.